Molecule: long non-coding RNA, 304 nt
Organism: Carassius auratus (goldfish)
Lineage: Eukaryota; Metazoa; Chordata; Actinopteri; Cypriniformes; Cyprinidae
Exons: 3
Source: RefSeq, a predicted model, not a curated record
GUUUGUGAGUAGGAGGAAACUGCAAGCAGUAAUUGAGCAGGUUAUGGUGGAUCAUCUGUCAAGAGAAAAAUCUCAGAAGUCUUUAAUGGAGAACAACUUAUCCAACAAUUAUCGUGCAUGGUGCUUGAACAGAGGGAGGCUGUACUGCCUGCAGGACAUCUCACAGGGUGCCGAGCUUCAUUUCUGAGCAGACGGCCCACACCUACCUCCCACAAAGUCUGAGACAGCAGCCGUGCCUGACCCUCAGAGUUACUGAUGUGGAUAACACAGCCAAGGGAGCCCUGCUGUAUGUUCCCCACACACA